UACGUAGGCAGCAAGCGUUGUUCGGAAUUACUGGGCGUAAAGCGUGCGCAGGCGGUUCGUUGUGUCGGCGGUGAAAGCCCCGGGCUCAACCUGGGAAUGGCCGUUGAAACUGGCGAACUGGAGUGUGGCAGAGGGGGGUGGAAUUCCGCGUGUAGCAGUGAAAUGCGUAGAGAUGCGGAGGAACACCGAUGGCGAAGGCAGCCCCCUGGGCUGACACUGACGCUCAGGCACGAAAGCGUGGGGAGCAAACAGG
Molecule: ribosomal RNA, 253 nt
Filed under: uncultured bacterium
Lineage: Bacteria
Description: partial 16S ribosomal RNA
Rfam family: Bacterial small subunit ribosomal RNA
Source: RNAcentral